This is a non-coding RNA of Camellia sinensis, 602 nucleotides long. The record is from RefSeq and is a predicted model, not a curated record. NCBI's taxonomy places the organism in Eukaryota, Viridiplantae, Streptophyta, Magnoliopsida, Ericales, Theaceae.
UCAAUUUGUGUAGCCUAAGACUAUAUAGUUUCAAAUUUAAAUACUUGAGUUACGUGUUGAGUACUUGUUCACUGUAUUUUCUGUUUUCUUUGCAAGUGAUUUGUUUUCGAUAUCUGAUGCUUUUUUCCCCCCUUCUUGAACCAGAGCAUACAUAAGUUUUUCCCUCUUGCUUUGUUGUUGCGUUGCUACGAGAGCUUGCAGGAGUAACUAUACCACCUGAAAGAAUCUAUGGUCUGGGAACUAGGUGAGAACAUUUUUAAGUAUAUAUAUUGUGUGUUAUUACAAAUGAAAAUUACUUUGGCUGGUCUUUUAAGCACCCCUCUCAAAUUUUGGAUAAUCAACUUAUUUAAACUAUUCUUAUUUAUAUUACCAAACAAUCUAACACUAUCUCUUUUUCUUUUUGAUUUUUUAUGCGUAUUUGUUUUUCUAUAUGUUUUUGAUGAGAGCAAACGAUGAGUCGGAGUUUUCUUUGAUCAUCGCCACACUCUGGACAACCAGUCAAUCGCUCCAAUUGUCUUUUUGAAAAUUCGAGCAUUUCGAGGAAUAAUCACUAGCUAAUGUGAAUAAUAUGAUGCAAAUGAAGACAAAACAUCGAUGUGGAU